RNAcentral lists this ribosomal RNA (253 nucleotides) under uncultured bacterium. RNAcentral describes it as "partial 16S ribosomal RNA". It matches the Rfam family "Bacterial small subunit ribosomal RNA", at positions 524 to 776 of the family's 1533-position model. The record is from RNAcentral.
GACAGAGGUGCCGAGCGUUAGGCGGAAUCAUUGGGCGUAAAGCGCUCGUAGGUGGAUCGGUAAGUCUGCAAAGAAAGACCCGGGCUCAACUCGGGGAACGGUGUGGAUACUACCGAUCUUGAGGCAAUCAGAGGAUGAUGGAAUUCCCGGUGUAGCGGUGAAAUGCGUAGAUAUCUGGAGGAACACCGGUGGCGAAGGCGGCAUCCUGGACCGAUACUGACGCUGAGGAGCGAAAGCCAGGGGAGCAAACGGG